AGAGUUUGAUCAUGGCUCAGGACGAACGCUGGCGGCGUGCCUAACACAUGCAAGUCGAACGGAGUUAUUAGAUGAAGCUUUGCGAUUCUAAUAACUUAGUGGCGGACGGGUGAGUAACGCGUGGGUAAUCUGCCCAUAAGUGGGGAACAACAGUUGGAAACGACUGCUAAUACCGCAUAAUCUGUGCAAACAGGAAAGGUGGCCUCUGAAUAUGCUGCCGCUUAUGGAUGAGCCCGCGUCUGAUUAGCUAGUUGGUGGGGUAAAGGCCUACCAAGGCGACGAUCAGUAGCCGGCCUGAGAGGGUGAACGGCCACACUGGGACUGAGACACGGCCCAGACUCCUACGGGAGGCAGCAGUGGGGAAUAUUGCGCAAUGGGGGAAACCCUGACGCAGCGACGCCGCGUGAGCGAUGAAGGCCUUAGGGUUGUAAAGCUCUGUUUUAAGGGACGAAUGUUAUGGGGAGUAAUAUGCCCUGUAAAUGACGGUACCUUAAGAGGAAGCCCCGGCUAACUACGUGCCAGCAGCCGCGGUAAGACGUAGGGGGCGAGCGUUGUCCGGAAUUACUGGGCGUAAAGAGCACGUAGGCGGGAACUUAAGUCAGGUGUGAAAGACCGGGGCUCAACUCCGGGGUGGCACUUGAAACUGGGUUUCUUGAGGGCAGGAGAGGAAAGCAGAAUUCCUGGUGUAGCGGUGAAAUGCGUAGAAAUCAGGAGGAAUACCAGUGGCGAAGGCGGCUUUCUGGACUGACCCUGACGCUGAGGUGCGAAAGCGUGGGUAGCAAACAGGAUUAGAUACCCUGGUAGUCCACGCCGUAAACGAUGGAUACUAGGUGUGGGAGGUAUCGACCCCUUCCGUGCCGCAGCUAACGCAAUAAGUAUCCCGCCUGGGGAGUACGGUCGCAAGGCUGAAACUCAAAUGAAUUGACGG
RNAcentral lists this ribosomal RNA (928 nucleotides) under uncultured bacterium. Its description in RNAcentral is "bacterial SSU rRNA". It matches the Rfam family "Bacterial small subunit ribosomal RNA", at positions 8 to 916 of the family's 1533-position model. The record is from RNAcentral.